This 307-nucleotide unclassified non-coding RNA is filed under the name Hevea brasiliensis (rubber tree). The record is from RNAcentral. Lineage: Eukaryota; Viridiplantae; Streptophyta; Magnoliopsida; Malpighiales; Euphorbiaceae.
UGUAUUACAAGGCUUUAUGAGCAUCAGCAAGAACAACAUCAGACAGGGUUUACAGGAUUGUCAGAAGCCAAUUACAAAGGAGCUUUCCUUGAAGGCUCAAUUUGACUGGACAAUCGGAAGCUUUGCUUGCAAAUCUUUCUACAAGAGCAAUCAGAAUAUAAUAGAAGGAAGAUUUAAGAGAAUUAAUAGAUGUAACAGUGGCAAUCAACAGUACUGCUGUUGUUAAAAUUGUGAUUUGAGUUAUGUUGGCAAUCCAUAAAACUGUACUCAUAUUAUUAGAGGUAUAUUGAAGGUGUUAGAAUUAUUC